Molecule: ribosomal RNA, 479 nt
Filed under: uncultured bacterium
Lineage: Bacteria
Description: partial 16S ribosomal RNA
Rfam family: Bacterial small subunit ribosomal RNA
Source: RNAcentral
GAUGAACGCUGGCGGCGUGCUUAACACAUGCAAGUCGAGCGAGAAGUUUUGAAAAGAUUCUUCGGAUGAAAUUUAAAAUGGAAAGCGGCGGACGGGUGAGUAACGCGUAGGCAAUCUGCCCCAUACAAAGGGAUAGCAUUUGGAAACGAAUAUUAAUACCUUAUGAAACUUAACUAGUGCAUGCUAGGUAGGUCAAAGAUUUAUCGGUAUGGGAUGGGCCUGCGUCUGAUUAGCUAGUUGGUGAGGUAACGGCUCACCAAGGCGACGAUCAGUAGCCGACCUGAGAGGGUGAACGGCCACAUUGGAACUGAGACACGGUCCAAACUCCUACGGGAGGCAGCAGUGGGGAAUAUUGCACAAUGGGGGAAACCCUGAUGCAGCAACGCCGCGUGAACGAUGAAGGCCUUUGGGUCGUAAAGUUCUGUUCUAGGUGAUGAAAACUGACAGUAACCUAGGAGAAAGCCCCGGCUAACUCCGUG